GAUUCACCGGAUAAACUCAGUGCC
Molecule: non-coding RNA, 24 nt
Filed under: Arabidopsis thaliana (thale cress)
Lineage: Eukaryota; Viridiplantae; Streptophyta; Magnoliopsida; Brassicales; Brassicaceae
Source: RNAcentral